Molecule: ribosomal RNA, 347 nt
Filed under: uncultured bacterium
Lineage: Bacteria
Description: partial 16S ribosomal RNA
Rfam family: Bacterial small subunit ribosomal RNA
Source: RNAcentral
CCUACGGGUGGCAGCAGUGAGGAAUAUUGGUCAAUGGCCGGAAGGCUGAACCAGCCAAGUCGCGUGAAGGAAGAAGGAUCGAUGGUUUGUAAACUUCUGUUAUAGGGGAAUAAAGGGAGACACGUGUGGAUAUUUGCAUGUACCCUAUGAAUAAGCAUCGGCUAACUCCGUGCCAGCAGCCGCGGUAAUACGGAGGAUGCGAGCGUUAUCCGGAUUUAGUGGGUUUAAAGGGUGCGUAGGUGGUUUUUUAAGUCAGCGGUGAAAGUUGGUGGCUCAACCAUAAAAGUGCCGUUGCAACUGGCAGCCUUGAGUGUGUUUGAGGUAGGCGGAAUGCGUGGUGUAGCGGU